GCCGCCACCACCACCUCCACCGCCAGAAAAAACCCAUUUUGGUGGCCUUAAGGAUGAGGACAGGAUAUUUACCAACUUAUAUGGGCUACAUGACCCUUUUCUGAAAGGUGCAAUGAAACGUGGUGAUUGGUAUCGAACGAAAGAUCUGGUAAUCAAGGGUACUGAUUGGAUUGUAAAUGAAAUGAAGAAGUCUGGCCUCCGUGGGCGUGGUGGUGCUGGUUUCCCUUCAGGCCUGAAAUGGUCAUUCAUGCCCAAAGUAUCUGAUGGCCGCCCUUCCUAUCUUGUUGUCAAUGCAGAUGAAAGUGAACCUGGAACUUGCAAAGACAGGGAAAUCAUGCGGCAUGACCCACAUAAGCUGUUAGAAGGUUGCUUGAUUGCUGGAGUGGGAAUGAGGG
This 395-nucleotide long non-coding RNA is filed under the name Phaseolus vulgaris (common bean). RNAcentral describes it as "long non-coding RNA (PVUL_LNC002446)". The record is from RNAcentral. Lineage: Eukaryota; Viridiplantae; Streptophyta; Magnoliopsida; Fabales; Fabaceae.